RNAcentral lists this non-coding RNA (30 nucleotides) under Mus musculus (house mouse). The record is from RNAcentral. Lineage: Eukaryota; Metazoa; Chordata; Mammalia; Rodentia; Muridae.
UGUCACAAAUGUCAUGAAGGAUGGCAAAGG